UGCUGGAGGUAUCAGAAGUGCGAAUGCUGACAUAAGUAACGAUAAAGCGGGUGAAAAGCCCGCUCGCCGGAAGACCAAGGGUUCCUGUCCAACGUUAAUCGGGGCAGGGUGAGUCGACCCCUAAGGCGAGGCCGAAAGGCGUAGUCGAUGGGAAACGGGUUAAUAUUCCCGUACUUGGUGUUACUGCGAAGGGGGGACGGAGAAGGCUAUGUUGGCCGGGCGACGGUUGUCCCGGUUUAAGCGUGUAGGCUGGUUUUCCAGGCAAAUCCGGAAAAUCAAGGCUGAGGCGUGACGACGAGGCACUACGGUGCUGAAGCAACAAAUGCCCUGCUUCCAGGAAAAGCCUCUAAGCAUCAGGUAACAUCAAAUCGUACCCCAAACCGACACAGGUGGUCAGGUAGAGAAUACCAAGGCGCUUGAGAGAACUCGGGUGAAGGAACUAGGCAAAAUGGUGCCGUAACUUCGGGAGAAGGCACGCUGACACGUAGGUGAAGUGAUUUACUCACGGAGCUGAAGUCAGUCGAAGAUACCAGCUGGCUGCAACUGUUUAUUAAAAACACAGCACUGUGCAAACACGAAAGUGGACGUAUACGGUGUGACGCCUGCCCGGUGCCGGAAGGUUAAUUGAUGGGGUCAGCGCAAGCGAAGCUCCUGAUCGAAGCCCCGGUAAACGGCGGCCGUAACUAUAACGGUCCUAAGGUAGCGAAAUUCCUUGUCGGGUAAGUUCCGACCUGCACGAAUGGCGUAAUGAUGGCCAGGCUGUCUCCACCCGAGACUCAGUGAAAUUGAACUCGCUGUGAAGAUGCAGUGUACCCGCGGCAAGACGGAAAGACCCCGUGAACCUUUACUAUAGCUUGACACUGAACAUUGAGCCUUGAUGUGUAGGAUAGGUGGGAGGCUUUGAAGCGUGGACGCCAGUCUGCGUGGAGCCGACCUUGAAAUACCACCCUUUAAUGUUUGAUGUUCUAACGUGGACCCGUAAUCCGGGUUGCGGACAGUGUCUGGUGGGUAGUUUGACUGGGGCGGUCUCCUCCUAAAGAGUAACGGAGGAGCACGAAGGUUGGCUAAUCCUGGUCGGACAUCAGGAGGUUAGUGCAAUGGCAUAAGCCAGCUUGACUGCGAGCGUGACGGCGCGAGCAGGUGCGAAAGCAGGUCAUAGUGAUCCGGUGGUUCUGAAUGGAAGGGCCAUCGCUCAACGGAUAAAAGGUACUCCGGGGAUAACAGGCUGAUACCGCCCAAGAGUUCAUAUCGACGGCGGUGUUUGGCACCUCGAUGUCGGCUCAUCACAUCCUGGGGCUGAAGUAGGUCCCAAGGGUAUGGCUGUUCGCCAUUUAAAGUGGUACGCGAGCUGGGUUUAGAACGUCGUGAGACAGUUCGGUCCCUAUCUGCCGUGGGCGCUGGAGAACUGAGGGGGGCUGCUCCUAGUACGAGAGGACCGGAGUGGACGCAUCACUGGUGUUCGGGUUGUCAUGCCAAUGGCACUGCCCGGUAGCUAAAUGCGGAAGAGAUAAGUGCUGAAAGCAUCUAAGCACGAAACUUGCCCCGAGAUGAGUUCUCCCUGAGACUUAGAGUCUCCUGAAGGAACGUUGAAGACGACGACGUUGAUAGGCCGGGUGUGUAAGCGCAGCGAUGCGUUGAGCUAACCGGUACUAAUGAACCGUGAGGCUUAACCUUACAACGCCGAAG
This 1686-nucleotide ribosomal RNA is filed under the name Salmonella enterica subsp. enterica serovar Bareilly str. CFSAN000955. RNAcentral's name for it is "bacterial LSU rRNA". It matches the Rfam family "Bacterial large subunit ribosomal RNA", at positions 1271 to 2925 of the family's 2925-position model. The record is from RNAcentral. Lineage: Bacteria; Pseudomonadati; Pseudomonadota; Gammaproteobacteria; Enterobacterales; Enterobacteriaceae.